UCAACUUUGAAGAAGAUGACGAUUUUUUGUUUAUUUUGUGUAUUUUUCUUUGUUCAUUUGGGACUGGCCAAGAGACAGAAUCAUUUUGUUCAUUUAUUAGUAGAUCCGAAUGAUGGUCGACUAUAUAGGACCUAUGUACCUGGGGCUUACAAAGUUACAGCACCAAUAAGAACAUAGCAGACUCAUUGGAACCACCGAAAUCGAAUAUCCACUGUUUCCCACCAUCACGGUUAUUCUACCCAUCUUCCAGGACCUCUUCCACUUGCUAACCUCAUCAAAAUAAUCGUUCGCUUCGCCUUCAUUCUCUUUUUUUUGUGACGCCAACAAGUGUGGCACUUGAUCUUUUUCUUGCCACUUGCCAGGACACUCGGAUUGUGAUUGAGUGUGUGCAACAGAGCCCGGAGCCCGAAGGCAGCAGCCCGGCUGCGGAGUCCUAGACCCCCAGAGAACUCAUCGCACAUUCUGACCAACGUCCGGCUGCCCUGCCUUUUGUUUGGUCAUUUUCCGGGGAGUGUGAGUGAUGGAAAUUUCGAUGAUGUCCAUUCAACAAUGCCAGUUUAUUGAGGAGUAGCAAAAGGAAUUUAAUUUUGUACGAAACUUUUGCUGGGAUCGAACAAGGACAUCAUUGUCAUCAGUGGAGCAUCAGCUGUCCCUCAAGCUACUCCCCCUGAUUCGUAUUCUGCCGCUUCCCUCUUUAUCCAUCCGACAUUGGAUAGAUAAAACCCAAUUUGUUGCAAAUAAAAUAAAAAACAAUGCAGGCAAGCAAAUGGACAGACAGUCAA
Long non-coding RNA from Drosophila obscura, 782 nucleotides. RefSeq lists it as uncharacterized. The record is from RefSeq and is a predicted model, not a curated record. The transcript has 3 exons. Lineage: Eukaryota; Metazoa; Arthropoda; Insecta; Diptera; Drosophilidae.